This 164-nucleotide small nuclear RNA is filed under the name Propithecus coquereli (Coquerel's sifaka). RNAcentral describes it as "U1 spliceosomal RNA (ENSPCOG00000025632.1)". It matches the Rfam family "U1 spliceosomal RNA". From Rfam's summary of the family: U1 is a small nuclear RNA (snRNA) component of the spliceosome (involved in pre-mRNA splicing). Its 5' end forms complementary base pairs with the 5' splice junction, thus defining the 5' donor site of an intron. Lineage: Eukaryota; Metazoa; Chordata; Mammalia; Primates; Indriidae. The record is from Rfam by way of RNAcentral.
AUACUUACCUGGCAGGGGAGAUACCAGGAUCACGAAGGUGGUUUUCCCCAGGUGGGGCUUAUCUGUUGCAUUCUGGAUGUACUGAUCCCUGUGAUUUCCCCAAAUGUGGAAAACUCGACUGCAUAAUUUAUGGUAGUGGGGGACUGCGUUCGCACUUUCUCCUC